CGCUCCCUAUAUAGAGCCGCGGCGACGGCUAGAGCUCGCGCCGCCGCCGCUAUCGCAAGUCUCUCUUCGUCCGGCCCCCACUCCCCCUCCGAGAGGGUGAGCGCGAGAGGGGUCGCGCCGGCGAGCGAGCUCCCCCGCCGCCGCGAUGAGGGCCAAGUGGAAGAAGAAGCGGAUGAGGCGGCUCAAGAGGAAGCGCCGAAAGAUGAGGCAGAGAUCCAAGUAGACAGAUUUGCCUCGUCCGUGCUCGGGAUUCUGCAGUUCGGUUGCACUUUACUGAUCAAUUCUAGUUUUCCGUAGUAUAAAGGGUUGUCUCUGAAACCAUUGGUGAGCAGUGCGUGUCUGUUUUGUAAUGAAUACAAUGUUCAUCUGAAAUUCUGAAUAUGGUUCCGCAACAUUUUUCAGAGAAUAAUCUUCCCAGGACGUGUUUGUUACUUAUUGGCUAAUGGUAACCCGUUUCUUGAUUUGAA
This is a long non-coding RNA of Setaria italica (foxtail millet), 467 nucleotides long. RefSeq lists it as uncharacterized. NCBI's taxonomy places the organism in Eukaryota, Viridiplantae, Streptophyta, Magnoliopsida, Poales, Poaceae. The record is from RefSeq and is a predicted model, not a curated record. The transcript is spliced from 2 exons.